RNAcentral lists this ribosomal RNA (232 nucleotides) under Acinetobacter sp. TJI-47. RNAcentral's name for it is "partial 16S ribosomal RNA". It matches the Rfam family "Bacterial small subunit ribosomal RNA", at positions 68 to 301 of the family's 1533-position model. The record is from RNAcentral. Lineage: Bacteria; Pseudomonadati; Pseudomonadota; Gammaproteobacteria; Moraxellales; Moraxellaceae.
GGGGAUAGGGUGCUUGCACCUGAUUCCUAGCGGCGGACGGGUGAGUAAUGCUUAGGAAUCUGCCUAUUAGUGGGGGACAACGUUCCGAAAGGGACGCUAAUACCGCAUACGUCCUACGGGAGAAAGCAGGGGAUCUUCGGACCUUGCGCUAAUAGAUGAGCCUAAGUCGGAUUAGCUAGUUGGUGGGGUAAAGGCCUACCAAGGCGACGAUCUGUAGCGGGUCUGAGAGGAU